RNAcentral lists this long non-coding RNA (1587 nucleotides) under Gossypium raimondii (Peruvian cotton). RNAcentral's name for it is "long non-coding RNA (GRAI_LNC010380)". Lineage: Eukaryota; Viridiplantae; Streptophyta; Magnoliopsida; Malvales; Malvaceae. The record is from RNAcentral.
AUCCAUUUCUUUUGCUCAGUUUAGGUGCUGCUUCAAGUUUUAUACCCUGUUUACCCUCUCGAUUGACGCUUCCCCUUUCCCUCUUCUGUUCCUUCCUUCUAGCUUGGGGUUUUUGCCGAUUUGCUCCCUCUGUCUCUCAACCUUUUCUUUUCUUUUUCUUUACAACAUUACGCUUGGCCUUCUCAACCUUUUCUUUUCUUUUUCUCUCUGUCACUCUUUCGCUUGCUCUCAGUUGGUGGGUUUCCAAGUUACUGCAACUGAAAGGUAAAGGUUUCUAACUCUCUUUUGCUCUCAAACUGCUUUAAUGUUUGCAGCUCUAAAUUUAUCGUUGUUUUUUUCCCUGCUGAUCCAUUUCAAGAAAAUGGGCUUUUUUUCUGCUUCACAUUUUAUUUUGAGUGGUUAUUUUCCUUCUUUACCAUGUAAAAUUUUAAGUUUGAUUGGUUUACUUUGAUGGGUUUGUGUUGUUGGAUUAAUUUCUAUGGAUUCCUGUAUUUUGAUUAGCUUAAGUUCCGAGUAGAGUUUUAUUUCUUGGACAUGAAAAGACGAAUAGGGCAAAUUGUUUAAUGAAUGAUCUACAGAAUCACUUCUUUUACCAACCGACCUCAUCUUCAAGCAGUCUGUCACACCAUUUCAAAAUGUAAAAGCAAACAGAUGUUUCACAUCAAGAAAUCUUCCUUGAAAGUAAGCUUUUAUUAUUAUUAAAUAAAACUACAGCAUAGGCACAACUCUUACUGCUUUAGAGCAUACUAUGAUUUCUAUUUCCUCCUCUUCCUUCCGUCUUUUUCAAGCAUAAUUGUUUCAGUUAAUGCAGCUUAAAAACCUUCAGCUUAACAAAUUGACUUACACAAGACAAACACAAUUCUAACAGGCUUCACUGACACGUUGUUAAAGCAUGCUAGAGUCCAUAACCCAUGCAUGGUGUGUGUAAUUCUUGGAUAACCUAGACCUAUCCAGUCUCUAAGGCUACUAUUUAGGAGCAAAUUUUUAAGAUUUUUGCUGGAACUUUGAAUUUUCACUCAGUUGGAAAGAAACUGAAAAAAGCAAAUAUGAGUUUCCAUCCACAAUAACAAAAACCGAUCUUUCAAAUUGAAAAGAUUACCAGAGAGAAAAUGAAAAAGAUGAAAGAUGUGAGUUCACUUAAUGCAAAUUUAGAAGAUAUGCCAUCCUUCUCUUAAUCGUUGUUUCUUUUCACUUACAAAAUAUAUGCCAAUAAACUAACGUUAAUUUUAUUGUCUUCUUCUUUUCAAUUGCGAAUGUGUACUCAAGAAGUUCAAAGUGACCUAGGACCAGAGGUAGUGUCAACACCGGCAUACUUUAAGUAGGAUGCAUGAUUCCCACUAGUUUCAAUACAAGAUUCUCAACGCUCAAGGGACAUCAUAUCAUGCCUAUACAUGCCCUGCACUUCUGUUAAAUGAGAAAUCCAACUAGCAGGGCAGCAAUUUCCACUGCUGGUUAUAUUUUGUUUGGUUCCUUUUUCAUGUCUAUGGUUAUGGUUCAUGUUGUUGUUGCAUUUGUUUUUAUUUCACCGAAAAUAUGUUUUGAGAGGAAUUGGAGUCCCUGAUUUGAAUAUCCUUAUGCUGCUUAACC